GACCCGCACAAGCGGUGGAGCAUGUGGUUUAAUUCGAAGCAACGCGAAGAACCUUACCAGCUCUUGACAUCUUCUGAUCACCCUAGAGAUAGGGCUUUCCCUUCGGGGACAGAAUGACAGGUGGUGCAUGGUUGUCGUCAGCUCGUGUCGUGAGAUGUUGGGUUAAGUCCCAUAACGAGCGCAACCCUUAUUGUUAGUUGCCAGCAUUCAGUUGGGCACUCUAGCGAGACUGCCGGUGAUAAACCGGAGGAAGGUGGGGAUGACGUCAAAUCAUCAUGCCCCUUAUGAGCUGGGCUACACACGUGCUACAAUGGACGGUACAACGAGUUGCGAGGCCGCAAGGCUUAGCGAAUCUUUAUAAGCCGUUCUCAGUUCGGAUUGCUCUCUGCAACUCGAGAGCAUGAAGCCGGAAUCGCUAGUAAUCGCGGAUCAGAAUGCCGCGGUGAAUACGUUCCCGGGUCUUGUACACACCGCCCGUCACACCACGAGAGUCCGUAACACCCGAAGCCGGUGGGGCAACCCUUAGGGGAGCUAGCCGUCGAAGGUGGGAUGGAUGAUUGGGGUGAAGUCGUA
This 573-nucleotide ribosomal RNA is filed under the name uncultured bacterium. RNAcentral describes it as "bacterial SSU rRNA". It matches the Rfam family "Bacterial small subunit ribosomal RNA", at positions 918 to 1490 of the family's 1533-position model. The record is from RNAcentral.